AACCAGGAAAGUUAAGUCAUAUUUAUAACGGUAAAAGAUAGUUAAAUAAAAAUAUAAAAGUUUAUUUAUUAUUUAUAGAGAGGUAAAAUUUUUAUAUAAAUAUAUAAUUUAAUUUUAACUUAAGUAUUGAAGCUAUGAUAGUCUUGAGGGAAACUGGGAUCAGAUACCCCAUUAUUCUUGGUCAUAAAUAAAUAAUAAUUUACCAGAGUACUACGAAGAAAAAAGUUUAAAACUCAAAGAGCUUGGCGGUGUUUUAGACCCUUCAGGGGAACCUGUCUCGUAAUCGAUAAUCCGCGCUAGACCUAACCUUUUUUUGCUUUCAGUUUGUAUACCGUCGUCGGAAGGUAACUUUUAAGAAAUGAUUAGUUAGCAACAGAAUUAUGUGAGUUUAUACGUCAGAUCAAGGUGCAACUUAUAAAAAGGGGAAGAUGGGUUACAAUUAUUUAAUUAUAAUAACGGAUUAAUACUUGAAUAAGUGUUAUUAAGGAGGACUUGAAAGUAAAUUGAAUUAUGUAAAUGUUUUGAACAAGGCUCUGAAAUGU
RNAcentral lists this ribosomal RNA (542 nucleotides) under Haustrum scobina. RNAcentral describes it as "partial 12S ribosomal RNA". Lineage: Eukaryota; Metazoa; Mollusca; Gastropoda; Neogastropoda; Muricidae. The record is from RNAcentral.